Molecule: ribosomal RNA, 2763 nt
Filed under: Ekhidna sp.
Lineage: Bacteria; Pseudomonadati; Bacteroidota; Cytophagia; Cytophagales; Reichenbachiellaceae
Description: 23S ribosomal RNA
Rfam family: Bacterial large subunit ribosomal RNA
Source: RNAcentral
AAGAAAGUAGAUAAGGGCGUAUGGAGGAUGCCUUGGCUCUCAGAGGCGAUGAAGGACGUGCUAAGCUGCGAUAAGCUACGGGAAGUUGCACAGAAACUUUGAUCCGUAGAUUUCCGAAUGGGGCAACCCGACUGGUUGAAGACUAGUCACCGCAAGGAGCUAACCCGGAGAACUGAAACAUCUAAGUACCCGGAGGAAGAGAAAACAAUAGUGAUUCCGUAAGUAGUGGCGAGCGAACGCGGAAUAGCCCAAACUCUGGUCGUUACGGCGAUCAGGGGGUUGUAGGACUGCAAUGUGGAUUAUAUUAUGAAUUAGAAUGGCUUGGGAAAGUCAACCGUAGAGGGUGAAAGUCCCGUACAAGUAAAAUGAUAUUACCUAGCAGUAUCCUGAGUAGGGCGGGACCGGAGAAAUCCCGUCUGAAUCUGCCGGCACCAUCCGGUAAGGCUAAAUACUCCUGAGAGACCGAUAGUGAACUAGUACCGUGAGGGAAAGGUGAAAAGUACCCUGAGUAAGGGGGUGAAAUAGUGCCUGAAACCAUACGCUUACAAGCGGUCGGAGCUACUUUGUGUAGUGACGGCGUGCCUUUUGCAUAAUGAGCCUACGAGUUAGUGUUGUUGGCAAGGUUAAUAUAUUUAGUGUUGAAGCCGAAGCGAAAGCGAGUCUUAACAGGGCGAUCAGUCAGCAGUACUAGACGCGAAACUUUGUGAUCUACCCAUGACCAGGGUGAAGUGUAGGUAACACUACAUGGAGGCCCGAACCAGUUGACGUUGAAAAGUCUUUGGAUGAGUUGUGGGUAGGGGUGAAAGGCCAAUCAAACUGAGAGAUAGCUCGUACUCCCCGAAAUGCUUUUAGGAGCAGCGUGGAGCUUAGUUUAUCAGAGGUAGAGCUACCGAUUGGACUAGGGGGAGUCAAAUCCUACCAAAUCCAGACGAACUCCGAAUGCUGAUAAAUAUGCUCCGCAGUGAGGGUUGGGGUGCUAAGGUCCCAAUCCGAGAGGGAAAGAACCCAGACCUACAGCUAAGGUCCCUAAAUUUACACUAAGUUGAACUAAGGAGGUUCAGUUGCUUAGACAGCCAGGAUGUUGGCUUGGAAGCAGCCAUUCAUUUAAAGAGUGCGUAACAGCUCACUGGUCAAGCGACAGAGCAUCAAUAAUAAUCGGGCAUCAAGUGUAAUACCGAAGCUUAGGAUCAUUUACGAUGGUAGGGGAGCAUUCUCUGCUCAGCGAAGGUGUGGCGUGAGCCAUGCUGGAGAGCAGAGAAGAGCAAAUGUAGGCAUAAGUAACGAUAAGGCAGGAGAGAAACCUGCCCACCGAUAGACUAAGGUUUCCCCGGCAAUGUUAAUCAGCCGGGGGUUAGUCGGGAUCUAAGGCAAACCCAAAAGGGAUAGUCGAUGAAUAACUAGUUAAUAUUCUAGUACCACCUUUAUUUUUGAUGGGGUGAAGGAGUAGUGAAAGUACCGCGUACUGACGGAAUAGUACGUUGAAGCGUGUAGGUACAGAGAUUGUAGGCAAAUCCGCAAGCUCUGCUGAACGUGAUAGUACCACAAACCUUCGGGUGCGUGGAUAGUGUACCUAAUCAAACUUCCAAGAAAAACCUCUAAGGCUAGGAUAAAGGUGCUCGUACCGUAAACCGACACAGGUAGUCAAGGAGAGAAUCCUAAGGUGCUCGAGUGAUUCGUGGUCAAGGAACUAGGCAAAAUUGUCCUGUAACUUCGGGAGAAGGGACUCCUAUUUCGGUAGGACGCAGUAAAAAGACCCAGGCGACUGUUUAUCAAAAACGAAGCCCCAGUAAACGGCGGCCGUAACUAUAACGGUCCUAAGGUAGCGAAAUUCCUUGUCGGGUAAGUUCCGACCUGCACGAAUGGUGCAACGAUCUGGGUACUGUCUCAACCACGAGCUCGGUGAAAUUGUAGUUCCGGUGAAGAUGCCGGAUACCCGCAACGGGACGAAAAGACCCCGUGAACCUUUACUAUAGCUUCACAUUGAUAUUGGGUAAAUGAUGUGUAGGAUAGCUGGGAGACUCUGAAGUCGUGUCGUCAGGCAUGAUGGAGUCGUUGGUGAAAUACCAGCCUUUAUUUAUUUGAUGUCUAACCCCGAAAGGGAGACAUUGUGUGGUGGGUAGUUUGACUGGGGUGGUCGCCUCCAAAAAAGUAACGGAGGCUUUCAAAGGUACCCUCAGCACGCUUGGUAAUCGUGCGCAGAGUGCAAUAGCAUAAGGGUGCUUGACUGUGAGGCUCACAAGUCGAUCAGGUAGGAAACUAGGAUAUAGUGAUCCGGCGGUUCUGUAUGGAAGGGCCGUCGCUCAAAGGAUAAAAGGUACUCCGGGGAUAACAGGCUGAUCUCCCCCAAGAGCUCAUAUCGACGGGGAGGUUUGGCACCUCGAUGUCGGCUCGUCACAUCCUGGGGCUGGAGAAGGUCCCAAGGGUUGGGCUGUUCGCCCAUUAAAGUGGCACGCGAGCUGGGUUCAGAACGUCGUGAGACAGUUCGGUCUCUAUCUGUUGUGGGCGUAAGAAACUUGAGUAGAUCUGACCUUAGUACGAGAGGACCGGGUUGGACUAACCGCUGGUGUACCAGUUGUUCCGCCAGGAGCAUCGCUGGGUAGCUACGUUGGGAAGGGAUAAGCACUGAAAGCAUCUAAGUGCGAAACCUGCUGCAAGAUGAGGUUUCUUUUAAAGGAUGUUCCAGAUGAGGACGUAGAUAGGCUGUAGGUGUAAAGGCAGUAAUGUCAAAGCCGAGCAGUACUAAUUACCUGUAAGCUUUUUUGA